Oncorhynchus mykiss (rainbow trout) is the source of this 1725-nucleotide long non-coding RNA. NCBI's taxonomy places the organism in Eukaryota, Metazoa, Chordata, Actinopteri, Salmoniformes, Salmonidae. The record is from Ensembl.
AUGGUUAGCAACCUGGCAGUGCCAGCACCCUGCUCUACACACCACCUCCUCCUCUCCCCUCCUGUCUCCUCCUCUCUUCUCCUGUCUCCUCCUCUCCCCUCCUGUCUUCUCCUCUCCCCUCCCGUCUUCUCCUCUCCCCUCCUGUUUUCUCCUCUCCCCUCCUGUCUCCUCCUCUCCCCUCCUGUCUUCUCCUCUCCCCUCCCGUCUUCUCCUCUCCCCUCCUGUUUUCUCCUCUCCCCUCCUGUCUCCUCCUCUCCCCUCCUGUCUUCUCCUCUCCCCUCCUGUCUUCUCCUCUCCCCUCCUGUCUUCUCCUCUCCCCUCCUGUCUUCUCCUCUCCCCUCCUGUCUCUUCCUCUCCCCUCCUGUCUUCUCCUCUCCCCCCCUGUCUUCUCCUCUCCCCUCGUGUCUUCUCCUCUCCCCUCCUGUCUUCUCCUCUCCCCUCCUGUCUCCUCCUCUCCCCUCCUGUUUCCUCCUCUCCCCUCCUGUCCUCUCCCCUCCUGUCCUCUCCUCUCCCCUCCAGUCUUCUUCUCCUCCCUCCUGUCUUCUCCUCUCCUCUCCCCUCCUGUCUUCCACCCUCCUGUCUUCUCCUCUCCCCUCCACUCCUCUCCUGUCUUCUCCUCUCCCCUCCUGUCUUCUCUCCCCUCCUGUUUUCCCCCUCCUGUCUUCUCCUCUCCCCUCCUGUCCUCUCCUCUCCCCUCCUGUCUUCUCCUCUCCCCUCCUGUCUCCUCCUCUCCCCUCCUGUUUCCUCCUCUCCCCUCCUGUCCUCUCCCCUCCUGUCCUCUCCUCUCCCCUCCAGUCUUCUUCUCCUCCCUCCUGUCUUCUCCUCUCCUCUCCCCUCCUGUCUUCCCCCCUCCUGUCUUCUCCUCUCCCCUCCACUCCUCUCCUGUCUUCUCCUCUCCCCUCCUGUCUUCUCUCCCCUCCUGUUUUCCCCCUCCUGUCUUCUCCUCUCCCCUCCUGUCCUCUCCUCUCCCCUCCAGUCUUCUUCUCCUCCCUCCUGUCUUCUCCUCUCCCCUCCUGUCCUCUCCUCUCCCCUCCAGUAUUCUUCUCCUCCCUCCUGUCUUCUCCUCUCCUCUCCCCUCCUGUCUUCCACCCUCCUGUCUUCGCCUCUCCCCUCCUGUCUUCUCCUCUCCCCUCCUGUCUUCUCAUCUCCCCUUCUGUCUUCCCCCCUCCUGUCUUCUCCUCUCCCCUCCACUCCUCUCCUGUCUUCUCCUCUCCCCUCCUGUCUUCUCUCCCCUCCUGUUUUUCCCCUCCUGUCUUCUCCUCUCCCCUCCUGUCCUCUCCUCUCCCCUCCUGUCUUUUCCUCUCCCCUCCUGUCUUCUCCCCUCCUGUCUUCCCCCCUCCUGUCUUCUACUCUCCCCUCUUGUCCUCUCCUCUCCCCUCCAGUAUUCUUCUCCUCCCUCCUGUCUUCUCCCCUCUCCUCGCGUCCUCUCCUCUCCCCUCCUGUCUUCUCCUCUCCCCUCCCCUCCCCUCCUGUCCUCUCCUCUCCUGUCUUCACUCCCCCUCCUGUCUUCCACCCUCCUGUCUUCUCCUCUCCCCUCCUGUCUUCUCAUCUCCCCUUCUCCUCUCUCCUCCUGUCUUCUCCCCAUCACCUCCUGUCUUCUCCUCUCCCCUUCUCCUCACUCCUCCUGUCUUCCCCCAAUCUCCUCCUGUCUUCUCUUCUCCCCUCCUGUCCUCUCCUCUCCACAGCUAUGGAGGGAAGAAAGAUAAUAUUUGUGGAAUUCCCUAA